CGGGGUGUGGGGAGGGCCCUGGGCUCGGGCAGGGGUGUGGGGCCCCGAUUCCUCGGCCCCGCG
RNAcentral lists this non-coding RNA (63 nucleotides) under Sus scrofa (pig). Lineage: Eukaryota; Metazoa; Chordata; Mammalia; Artiodactyla; Suidae. The record is from RNAcentral.